RNAcentral lists this ribosomal RNA (258 nucleotides) under Arthrobacter sp. G75p0. RNAcentral describes it as "partial 16S ribosomal RNA". It matches the Rfam family "Bacterial small subunit ribosomal RNA", at positions 32 to 288 of the family's 1533-position model. Lineage: Bacteria; Bacillati; Actinomycetota; Actinomycetes; Micrococcales; Micrococcaceae. The record is from RNAcentral.
GAGACGCUGGCGGCGUGCUUAACACAUGCAAGUCGAACGAUGAACCUACUUGUGGGGGGAUUAGUGGCGAACGGGUGAGUAACACGUGAGUAACCUGCCCUUAACUCUGGGAUAAGCCUGGGAAACUGGGUCUAAUACCGGAUAUGACUCCUCAUCGCAUGGUGGGGGGUGGAAAGCUUUAUUGUGGUUUUGGAUGGACUCGCGGCCUAUCACCUUGUUGGUGACGUAAUGGCCUCACCAAGGCGACAACGGGUAGCC